Molecule: ribosomal RNA, 889 nt
Filed under: uncultured euryarchaeote
Lineage: Archaea; Methanobacteriati; Methanobacteriota
Description: bacterial SSU rRNA
Rfam family: Archaeal small subunit ribosomal RNA
Source: RNAcentral
GGUCACUGCUAUUGGGGUUCGGCUAAGCCAUGCGAGCGGAGGGCGCGGUCGCAAGAUCGUGGCCCCGCACACGGCUCAGUAACACGUAGUCAACCUACCCUUGGGACGGGGACAACGCCGGGAAACUGGCGAUAAUCCCCGAUAGGUGAGGGAUGCUGGGAUGCUUCUUCGCUCAAAGCUCCGGCGCCCGAGGAUGGGACUGCGGCCUAUCAGGCUGUUGGUGGUGUGACGGACCACCAAACCUACGACGGGUACGGGCGAUGGGAGUCGGAGCCUGGAGAUGGGGACUGAGACAAGGCCCCAGGCCCUACGGGGCGCAGCAGGCGCGAAAACUCCGCAAUGCGCGCAAGCGUGACGGGGGAACCCCAAGUGCCGUUGGCUUUUGAUCGACGGCUUUUCGGAAGUCCAAUAAGCUUCCGGAAUAAGGGCUGGGUAAGACUGGUGCCAGCCGCCGCGGUAACACCAGCAGCCCUAGUGGUGGCCGCGAUAUUGGGCCUAAAGCGCUCGUAGCCGGAUCAGCAAGUCCUUUGUGAAAUCGGACCGCCCAACGGUUCGGCGUGCAAAGGAUACUGUUGGUCUUGAGACCGGGAGAGGUCGGAGGUACUCUUGGGGUAGCGGUGAAAUGCUGUAAUCCUGGGGGGACCACCAGUGGCGAAGGCGUCCGACCAGAACGGAUCUGACGGUGAGGGGCGAAGGCUAGGGGAGCGAACGGGAUUAGAUACCCCGGUAGUCCUAGCUGUAAAGCAUGCGGGCCAGGUGUCUAGCGCUCCUUGAGGGCGCUAUGUGCCGGAGGGAAGCCGUUAGCCCGCCGCCUGGGAAGUACGGCCGCAAGGCUGAAACUUAAAGAAAUUGGCGGGGGAGCACCACAAGGGGUGGAACCUGCGGUUCA